UUGCAGUUAAAAAGCUCGUAGUUGGAUUUCGGAACCGGCCGAUUGGUCCGUCCUCUGGAUCGUGUACUGAUCGGUCUGUUCUUCUUCGCGAAGACCGCGUGUGCUCUUAACUGAGUGGGCGCGGGAUUCGCGACGUUUACUUUGAAAAAAUUAGAGUGUUCAAAGCAGGCAGUCGCUUGAAUAUCUCAGCAUGGAAUAAUAGAAUAGGACUUUGGUCUUAUUUUGUUGGUUUCCGAGACCGAAGUAAUGAUUAAUAGGGACAGUUGGGGGCAUUCGUAUUUCAUUGUCAGAGGUGAAAUUCUUGGAUUUAUGAAAGACGAACUUCUGCGAAAGCAUUUGCCAAGGAUGUUUUCAUUAAUCAAGAACGAAAGUUGGAGGCUCGAAGACGAUCAGAUACCGUCCUAGUUCCAACCAUAAACGAUGCCGUCUGCGGAUCGGAGGUCGCUCAUGUAAGGCUCCUUCGGCACGCUAUGAGAAAUCAAAGACUUCGGGUUCCGGGGGGAGUAUGUUCGCAAGAAUGAAACUUAAAGGAAUUGACGGAAGGGCACACCAGGAGUGGAACCUGC
This 566-nucleotide ribosomal RNA is filed under the name uncultured marine eukaryote. RNAcentral's name for it is "SSU rRNA". It matches the Rfam family "Eukaryotic small subunit ribosomal RNA", at positions 613 to 1186 of the family's 1831-position model. The record is from RNAcentral.